This 287-nucleotide unclassified non-coding RNA is filed under the name uncultured fungus. RNAcentral describes it as "partial contains 5.8S ribosomal RNA, internal transcribed spacer 2, and large subunit ribosomal RNA". Lineage: Eukaryota; Fungi. The record is from RNAcentral.
AACGCACAUUGCGCCCCUCGGCAUUCCGGAGGGCAUGCCUGUCCGAGCGUCGUUAAAACCAAUCAAGCGAAGCGCUUGGCGAUGGGCGAACGCCCGGUCUAAUCCACCGGACUGGCCCCAAAACCGUCGGCAGAGCCAAGUGAGCGGCCGGGCGUAGCAGAAUCUACGACGUCCGAACCCUCCCUUCUCGCGCCGCCCGCCCCGUGGGGACCUGCGCACAGGCACCCAUGCGGACACGCCAUCUAAAGGUCGACCUCGGAUCAGGUAGGGAUACCCGCUGAACUUAA